ACCUCGGAUCAGGUAGGAAUACCCGCUGAACUUAAGCAUAUCAAUAAGCGGAGGAAAAGAAACCAACAGGGAUUGCCCUAGUAACGGCGAGUGAAGCGGCAACAGCUCAAAUUUGAAAUCUGGCCUUCGGGUCCGAGUUGUAAUUUGUAGAGGAUGCUUUUGGUGAGGUACCUUCCGAGUUCCCUGGAACGGGACGCCAUAGAGGGUGAGAGCCCCGUCUGGUUGGAUACCGAUCCUCUGUAAAGCUCCUUCGACGAGUCGAGUAGUUUGGGAAUGCUGCUCUAAAUGGGAGGUAUAUGUCUUCUAAAGCUAAAUAUUGGCCAGAGACCGAUAGCGCACAAGUAGAGUGAUCGAAAGAUGAAAAGCACUUUGAAAAGAGAGUUAAAAAGUACGUGAAAUUGUUGAAAGGGAAGCGCUCAUGACCAGACUUGGGCUUGGUUGAUCAUCCAGGGUUCUCCCUGGUGCACUCUUCCAGCCCAGGCCAGCAUCAGUUCGCUGUGGGGGAUAAAGGCUUCGGGAAUGUGGCUCNNCCGGGAGUGUUAUAGCCCGUUGCGUAAUACCCUGUGGUNGAC
This 572-nucleotide ribosomal RNA is filed under the name Neonectria sp. C_1_BESC_294u. Its description in RNAcentral is "eukaryotic LSU rRNA". It matches the Rfam family "Eukaryotic large subunit ribosomal RNA", at positions 1 to 586 of the family's 3401-position model. Lineage: Eukaryota; Fungi; Ascomycota; Sordariomycetes; Hypocreales; Nectriaceae. The record is from RNAcentral.